This 359-nucleotide unclassified non-coding RNA is filed under the name soil metagenome. Its description in RNAcentral is "partial contains 5.8S ribosomal RNA, internal transcribed spacer 2, and large subunit ribosomal RNA". The stretch from base 1 to 120 matches the Rfam family "5.8S ribosomal RNA", at positions 35 to 154 of the family's 154-position model. The record is from RNAcentral.
GAUGAAGAACGCAGCGAAAUGCGAUAAGUAAUGCGAAUUGCAGAAUUCAGUGAAUCAUCGAAUCUUUGAACGCACAUUGCGCCCGCCAGUAUUCUGGCGGGCAUGCCUGUCUGAGCGUCGUUUCGACCCUCGCGCCCGGCUUCUGUCGGGGGCGGUGUUGGGGAUCGGCCACACCCUUCAGUGGGAGGCCGGCCCCUAAAUUCAGUGGCGACCACGCUGUAGCCUCCCCUGCGUAGUACUAAAACCACCUCGCAGGCGGAGAGCGGUGCGGCCCGCCGUAAAACCCCCCAACUCUUUCUGGUUGACCUCAGAUCAGGUAGGAAUACCCGCUGAACUUAAGCAUAUCAAUAAGCGGAGGA